Molecule: ribosomal RNA, 253 nt
Filed under: uncultured bacterium
Lineage: Bacteria
Description: partial 16S ribosomal RNA
Rfam family: Bacterial small subunit ribosomal RNA
Source: RNAcentral
UACGGAGGGGGCAAACGUUGCUCGGAAUCAUUGGGCGUAAAGCGCGUGUAGGCGGCUUGUUAAGUCGGGUGUGAAAGCCCUGGGCUCAACCCAGGAAGUGCGCCCGAAACUGGCGAGCUAGAGUACGGGAGAGGGUAGUGGAAUUCCCGGUGUAGAGGUGAAAUUCGUAGAUAUCGGGAGGAACACCAGUGGCGAAGGCGGCUACCUGGACCGAUUCUGACGCUGAGACGCGAAAGCGUGGGUAGCAAACAGG